RNAcentral lists this ribosomal RNA (261 nucleotides) under uncultured archaeon. RNAcentral's name for it is "partial 16S ribosomal RNA". It matches the Rfam family "Archaeal small subunit ribosomal RNA", at positions 748 to 1009 of the family's 1478-position model. The record is from RNAcentral.
UAGCCGUAAACGAUACUCGCUAGGCGUCGGCCACGGUGCGACCGUUGUCGGUGCCGUAGGGAAGCCGUGAAGCGAGCCACCUGGGAAGUACGGCCGCAAGGCUGAAACUUAAAGGAAUUGGCGGGGGAGCACCGCAACGGGAGGAGCCUGCGGUUUAAUUGGACUCAACGCCGGGAAGCUCACCGGAUAAGACAGCGGAAUGAUUGCCGGGCUGAAGACCCUGCAUGACCAGCUGAGAGGAGGUGCAUGGCGUAGUCGUGU